AUUGAACGCUGGCGGCAGGCCUAACACAUGCAAGUCGAGCGAGCGGCGGACGGGUGAGUAAUGUAUGGGGACUGCCCGAUAGAGGGGGAUAACUACUGGAAACGGUGGCUUAUACCGCAUACUAUCGGAUAACCUAUAUGGGAUUAGCUAGUAGGAGGGGUAAAGGCUCACCUAGGCGACGACCUCUAGCUGGUCUGAGAGGAUGAUAAGCAACACUGGGACUGAGAAACGGCCCAGACUCCUACGGAGCCAGCAGUGGGGAAUAUUGCACAAUGGGCGCAAGCCGGAUGCAGCAAUGCCGCGUGGAUGAAGAAGGCCUUAGGGUUGUAAAGUACUUUCAGCGGGGAGGCGUUACCCGCAGAAGAAGCACCGGCUAACUCCGUGCCAGCCGCCGCGGUAAUAC
This 403-nucleotide ribosomal RNA is filed under the name uncultured bacterium. RNAcentral describes it as "partial 16S ribosomal RNA". It matches the Rfam family "Bacterial small subunit ribosomal RNA", at positions 30 to 526 of the family's 1533-position model. The record is from RNAcentral.